This 253-nucleotide ribosomal RNA is filed under the name uncultured bacterium. RNAcentral's name for it is "partial 16S ribosomal RNA". It matches the Rfam family "Bacterial small subunit ribosomal RNA", at positions 524 to 776 of the family's 1533-position model. The record is from RNAcentral.
UACAGAGGUCCCAAGCGUUGUUCGGAUUCAUUGGGCGUAAAGGGUGCGUAGGCGGCGCGGUAAGUCGGGUGUGAAAUCUCGGAGCUUAACUCCGAAACUGCAUUCGAUACUGCCGUGCUUGAGGACUGGAGAGGAGACUGGAAUUUACGGUGUAGCGGUGAAAUGCGUAGAUAUCGUAAGGAAGACCAGGGGCGAAGGCGGGUCUCUGGACAGUUCCUGACGCUGAGGCACGAAGGCCAGGGGAGCAAACGGG